This 497-nucleotide ribosomal RNA is filed under the name uncultured bacterium. RNAcentral's name for it is "partial 16S ribosomal RNA". It matches the Rfam family "Bacterial small subunit ribosomal RNA", at positions 28 to 507 of the family's 1533-position model. The record is from RNAcentral.
GAUGAACGCUGGCGGCGUGCCUAAUACAUGCAAGUCGAGCGAACAGACGAGGAGCUUGCUCCUCUGACGUUAGCGGCGGACGGGUGAGUAACACGUGGAUAACCUACCUAUAAGACUGGGAUAACUUCGGGAAACCGGAGCUAAUACCGGAUAAUAUAUUGAACCGCAUGGUUCAAUAGUGAAAGACGGUUUUGCUGUCACUUAUAGAUGGAUCCGCGCCGCAUUAGCUAGUUGGUAAGGUAACGGCUUACCAAGGCAACGAUGCGUACCCGACCUGAGAGGGUGGUCGGCCACCCUGGAACUGAGACACGGUCAAGACUCCUACGGGAGGCAGCAGUAGGGAAUCUUCCGCAAUGGGCGAAAGCCUGACGGAGCAACGCCGCGUGAGUGAUGAAGGUCUUCGGAUCGUAAAACUCUGUUAUUAGGGAAGAACAAAUGUGUAAGUAACUAUGCACGUCUUGACGGUACCUAAUCAGAAAGCCACGGCUAACUACGUG